This is a long non-coding RNA of Salvelinus namaycush (lake trout), 706 nucleotides long. RefSeq lists it as uncharacterized. NCBI's taxonomy places the organism in Eukaryota, Metazoa, Chordata, Actinopteri, Salmoniformes, Salmonidae. The transcript has 2 exons. The record is from RefSeq and is a predicted model, not a curated record.
ACAUCUGCUCUGACUGUGGGAAGAGUUUCUCUCAACAGAACCAUUUAAAAACACACCAACGUAUACACACAGGAGAGAAGCCUUACUACUGCUCUGUCUGUGAGAAGAGUUUCUCUCAAGAGAGCAACUUAAAAACACACCAACGUAUACACACAGGAGAGAAGCCUUACUACUGCUCUGACUGUGGGAAGAGUUACUCUCAAGAGAGCAACUUAAAAACACACCAACGUAAACAUAAAGGAGAGAAGCCUCAUCAGUUCUCUCAGACCGGAUAAGAUUAAAAUCACUCCAUCACUCAAUUUUCAUCUCAUUGCUUGACUUGGACUGAAAUAGGUGCCGGUACUGUUUUAUAUUUAGCUUCCACCACAUACAUCAUUCAUAAUUAACUUAUCUGUAAUAAAAUAUAAAUUGGUAUGUGUUAUUCACUGACAUGUGGACUUAAACUUAAUUGUGUUCUGUGACAUUUUAAUCACUGUGUUUUAGAGAUGAUCUCUUUAUCUAUGUAUGUUUCUGUUGUGAGGUCAAGAUUGAAUUAGUCUGUCAUAGGUUGUUAUUCUAUUCGUAUUAUAUGGUCAUUCAUCAGUUCUGCCCUACAAAGGAACUCACUGAUGUACUUUCUGCAGAUUCAGUUUGUUAUAUUUUCCAUGUUGUUAGAGAGUCAGGGGUUGUACAUUGUUAUUAAAAUAACAAGAAUGAUCAAAUUGCA